AGCCCUGUGACUUCUCCACCUUGCCGUGGAUACUCCCUCAGCUUCUCUGACUUCUGGGCAAAGCCUCUGCAGGACGUGCCACCAAGGUUAGAGGAAAAAAACACGAACACAGGUUUUGGUCAAUCCUCAUGAACUACAGCUCAUACUCAUAUUUCCUGGCUUGUUUUUAUUCUCCCCACCUUAAUUCCAUCUUCCCUUUCUGAUUGUCUACCUUGUGGAGUUCAAGCUCCCGCUUCAGACAAGAAGAUGAAAGCCAUACAAAGACUACUCAACCCAACCAUCUCCCACAGUGACAUAAGGAUCUCUACAUACAGUGUGAAAAAAAUAAGAGAAGAAAUGGAAGCCUAGAGGCAAGAUGACAGAAGAAACUGUAGUGUUAAUCCAGAUAAGACAUUGAAGAGCUAAACCAGGAUUUUGGUAAGACAGAUGGAGAGAUGUGAAUGGAUCUGAAUGCUACCAAGAAGGUCAAAUUCAACGGUGCUUACAGGCAUACCUUGGAAACAUUGCAGAUUUAGUUCUAGAACACCACAGUAAAGCAAAUAUUGCAAGAAAAUGAAUCACAUGAAUUUUGGGUUUCCCAGCGCACAUAAAAGUUAUGUUUACACUAUACUAUAGUCUAAGUGUGUAAUAGCAUUAUGUAUUUUAAAAGUACAUGCCUUAAUUAAAAAAUAUUUUAUUGCUAAAAAUGCUAUCAUCUGAGCCUUCAAUUAGUUAUAAUCAUUUUGCUGAUGGAGGGUCUUGCCUCAAUGUUGAUGGUUGCUGACUGAUCAGGGUAGUGUUUGUUGAUGGUUGGGGUGGCUGUGGCAAUUUCUUAAAAUAAGACAACAAUAAAGUUUGCCACAUCAAUCAAUUUUUCCUUUCAUAAAUAAUUUGUCUGUAGGAUGCAAUGCUGUUUGGUAGCAUUUUACACACAGUAGAAUUUCUUUAAAAUUGGAGUCAAUCUUCUCAAGCCCUGCCAUUUCCACAGCAGCUACAAUUACUUCCUCCACAGAAGUCUUGAACCCCUCCAAGUCAUCCAAGAGGGUUGGAAUCAACUAUUUCCAAAGUCCUGUUAAUGAUGAUAUCUUGACCUCCUUCCAUGAAUUAAUUACAAUUGUUCUUAAUAUCAUCUAGUUUGGUGAAUCCUUUCCAGAAGGUUUUUAAUUUAUCUUGUCAAGAUCCAUCAGAGGAAUCACUAUCUAUGGCAGUUAGAGUCUUCUGAAAUGUAUUUCUUAAAUAAUAAGACUUGAAAGUAAAAAUUACUCCUUUAUCCAGGGGAUGCAGAAUGAAUGUUGGGUUAGUGGUCAUGAAAGUAACAUUAAUCUCCCUGUACAUCUCUAUCAGAGCUCUUGCAUUGCUAGGCGCAUUGUCAAUGAGCAGUAACAUUUUGAAAGAAAUUUUUUUUUCUGAGUAGUAGUUCUCAACACUGGCCUUAAACUAUUCAGUAAGCUGGCCAGGCAUGGUGGCUUAUGCCUGUAAUCCCAGCACUUUAGGAGGCCGAGGCGGGUGGAUCACCUGAGGUUAGGAGUUCGAGACCAGCCUGGCCAACAUGGCCAAACCCCAUCUCUACAAAAUUACAAAAAUUAGUUGGGGGUGGUGGUGUGUGCCUGUAAUCCCAGCUACUCAGGAGGCUGAGGUAGGAGAAUUGCUUGAACCCAGGAGGUAGAAAUUGCAGUGAACUGAGAUCAUGCCACUGCACUCCAGCCUGGGAGACAGAGUGAGACUCCAU
Molecule: long non-coding RNA, 1708 nt
Filed under: Homo sapiens (human)
Lineage: Eukaryota; Metazoa; Chordata; Mammalia; Primates; Hominidae
Description: HSALNT0321309
Source: RNAcentral